This 492-nucleotide ribosomal RNA is filed under the name uncultured bacterium. RNAcentral's name for it is "partial 16S ribosomal RNA". It matches the Rfam family "Bacterial small subunit ribosomal RNA", at positions 29 to 507 of the family's 1533-position model. The record is from RNAcentral.
AGUGAACGCUGGCGGUAGGCCUAACACAUGCAAGUCGAACGGCAGCACAGUAAGAGCUUGCUCUUACGGGUGGCGAGUGGCGGACGGGUGAGGAAUACAUCGGCAUCUACUUUUUCGUGGGGGAUAACGUAGGGAAACUUACGCUAAUACCGCAUACGACCUACGGGUGAAAGCAGGGGAUCUUCGGACCUUGCGCGAUUGAAUGAGCCGAUGUCGGAUUAGCUAGUUGGCGGGGUAAAGGCCCACCAAGGCGACGAUCCGUAGCUGGUCUGAGAGGAUGAUCAGCCACACUGGAACUGAGACACGGUCCGGACUCCUACGGGAGGCAGCAGUGGGGAAUAUUGGACAAUGGGCGCAAGCCUGAUCCAGCCAUACCGCGUGGGUGAAGAAGGCCUUCGGGUUGUAAAGCCCUUUUGUUGGGAAAGAAAAGCAGCAGGUUAAUACCCCGCUGUUCUGACGGUACCCAAAGAAUAAGCACCGGCUAACUUCGUG